This 2894-nucleotide ribosomal RNA is filed under the name Stenotrophomonas maltophilia. RNAcentral's name for it is "bacterial LSU rRNA". It matches the Rfam family "Bacterial large subunit ribosomal RNA". Lineage: Bacteria; Pseudomonadati; Pseudomonadota; Gammaproteobacteria; Lysobacterales; Lysobacteraceae. The record is from RNAcentral.
GUUAUAUGGUCAAGCGAAUAAGCGCACACGGUGGAUGCCUUGGCGGUCAGAGGCGAUGAAGGACGUGGCAGCCUGCGAAAAGUAUCGGGGAGCUGGCAACAAGCUUUGAUCCGGUAAUGUCCGAAUGGGGAAACCCACCCGCUUGCGGGUAUCCUGCAGUGAAUACAUAGCUGCUGGAAGCGAACCUGGUGAACUGAAAUAUCUAAGUAACCAGAGGAAAAGAAAUCAACCGAGAUUCCGUAAGUAGCGACGAGCGAACGCGGACUAGCCCUUAAGCUGGAUUGGUUCUAGGAAAACGCUCUGGAAAGAGCGGCCAUAGAAGGUGAUAGCCCUGUAUCUGAAAGGGCCAUUCCAGUGAAGACGAGUAGGGCGGGGCACGUGAAACCCUGUCUGAACAUGGGGGGACCAUCCUCCAAGGCUAAAUACUACUGACCGACCGAUAGUGAACCAGUACCGUGAGGGAAAGGCGAAAAGAACCCCGGAGAGGGGAGUGAAAUAGAACCUGAAACCGUGUGCGUACAAGCAGUAGGAGCUCCGCAAGGAGUGACUGCGUACCUUUUGUAUAAUGGGUCAGCGACUUACUGUUCGUGGCAAGCUUAACCGUAUAGGGGAGGCGAAGGGAAACCGAGUCUGAUAAGGGCGCAUAGUCGCGGGCAGUAGACCCGAAACCGGGUGAUCUAGUCAUGCCCAGGGUGAAGGUGCGGUAACACGCACUGGAGGCCCGAACCCACUCCCGUUGCAAAGGUAGGGGAUGAGGUGUGAUUAGGAGUGAAAAGCUAAUCGAACCCGGAGAUAGCUGGUUCUCCUCGAAAGCUAUUUAGGUAGCGCCUCAUAUGUAUCCUCUCGGGGGUAGAGCACUGUUAUGGCUAGGGGGUCAUCGCGACUUACCAAACCAUUGCAAACUCCGAAUACCGAGACGGACUGUAUGGGAGACACACGGCGGGUGCUAACGUCCGUCGUGAAAAGGGAAACAACCCAGACCCACAGCUAAGGUCCCAAAUUUUGUGCUAAGUGGAAAACCAUGUGGAAAGGCACAGACAGCCAGGAGGUUGGCUUAGAAGCAGCCACCCUUUAAAGAAAGCGUAAUAGCUCACUGGUCGAGUCGGUCUGCGGGGAAGAUUUAACGGGGCUAAGCACAGAACCGAAGCUUGGGGUGCAUAACUUUGUUAUGCGCGGUAGAGGAGCGUUCCGUAAGCCGUUGAAGGUGGAUUGAGAAGUCUGCUGGAGGUAUCGGAAGUGCGAAUGCUGACAUGAGUAACGAUAAUGCGGGUGAAAAACCCGCACGCCGAAAGCCCAAGGUUUCCUUGCGCAACGUUAAUCGGCGCAGGGUGAGUCGGCCCCUAAGGCGAGGACGAAAGUCGUAGUCGAUGGGAAGCAGGUUAAUAUUCCUGCACCUCGCGUAAGUGCGAUGGAGGGACGGAGAAGGUUAGGUGUACCAGGCGUUGGUUGUCCUGGGGAAAGGCGGUAGGUUUGGAUCUUUGGCAAAUCCGGGAUCCUCUAAGACCGAGCACCGAGACGAGCCUUUAUGGCAAAGUCACUGAUACCACGCUUCCAGGAAAAGCUCCUAAGCUUCAGCUUACGCAGACCGUACCGUAAACCGACACAGGUGGGUAGGAUGAGAAUUCUCAGGCGCUUGAGAGAACUCGGGUGAAGGAACUAGGCAACAUGGCACCGUAACUUCGGGAGAAGGUGCACCCUUUUUGGUGGCUCGUGCGAGCUAUAGCUGAAGAGGGUCGCAGUAACCAGGCCGCUGCGACUGUUUAUCAAAAACACAGCACUCUGCAAACACGAAAGUGGACGUAUAGGGUGUGACGCCUGCCCGGUGCUGGAAGGUUAAUUGAUGGGGUCAGCCGCAAGGCGAAGCUCUUGAUCGAAGCCCCAGUAAACGGCGGCCGUAACUAUAACGGUCCUAAGGUAGCGAAAUUCCUUGUCGGGUAAGUUCCGACCUGCACGAAUGGCGUAACGACAGCGGCGCUGUCUCCACCCGAGACUCAGUGAAAUUGAAAUCGCUGUGAAGAUGCAGCGUUCCCGUGGCAAGACGGAAAGACCCCGUGAACCUUUACUAUAGCUUUACACUGAACGUUGAGUUCGUCUGUGUAGGAUAGGUGGGAGGCUAUGAAACCAUGGCGCUAGCUGUGGCGGAGCCAUCCUUGAAAUACCACCCUGUCGUGCUUGACGUUCUAACCUGGGCCCAUUAUCUGGGUCGGGGACCGUGUAUGGUGGGUAGUUUGACUGGGGCGGUCUCCUCCUAAAGAGUAACGGAGGAGCUCGAAGGUACGCUCAGCGCGGUCGGACAUCGCGCACUGUGUGCAAAGGCAUAAGCGUGCUUGACUGCAAGAUCGACGGAUCAAGCAGGUAGGAAACUAGGACUUAGUGAUCCGGUGGUUCUGUAUGGAAGGGCCAUCGCUCAACGGAUAAAAGGUACUCCGGGGAUAACAGGCUGAUACCGCCCAAGAGUUCAUAUCGACGGCGGUGUUUGGCACCUCGAUGUCGGCUCAUCACAUCCUGGGGCUGUAGUCGGUCCCAAGGGUAUGGCUGUUCGCCAUUUAAAGUGGUACGCGAGCUGGGUUCAGAACGUCGUGAGACAGUUCGGUCCCUAUCUGCCAUGGGCGUUGGAGAUUUGAGAGGGGCUGCUCCUAGUACGAGAGGACCGGAGUGGACGAACCUCUGGUGUUCCGGUUGUCACGCCAGUGGCAUUGCCGGGUAGCUAUGUUCGGAAGCGAUAACCGCUGAAAGCAUCUAAGCGGGAAGCGCGCCUCAAGAUGAGAUCUCCCGGGGCACAAGCCCCCUGAAGGAACCAUGUAGACUACGUGGUUGAUAGGUCAGGUGUGUAAGUACAGCAAUGUAUUGAGCUAACUGAUACUAAUGAUCCGUGCGGCUUGACCAUAUAACCU